RNAcentral lists this long non-coding RNA (1325 nucleotides) under Homo sapiens (human). Its description in RNAcentral is "non-protein coding EXOC3-AS1:1". Lineage: Eukaryota; Metazoa; Chordata; Mammalia; Primates; Hominidae. The record is from RNAcentral.
ACUUCCGCUUCCGGCAACGGCGCCGGAAGCACGGGUCCGGGCCCUCCCGCGGGGCGGGUACUCGUCUCCCGGCCGAGCGACUUCAGCUCGGGGACCUGCCCCAUGGCCGCUCCCCAGCAGGACAGGGAAACCGCCGAGGUGGGGGGCUUCUUGUCCGUCCCAGCCCCCCCAACUCAGGCCCUCUCGCUGCCCCUGGCGACCACCGCGUGCGCCCUUCCCCAGGGCGGGCGCAGUCCUGGACGCCUCCGCCGAGCGUGACUGCGUGCAUUUUCUCUCCUUUCCCUUCCCAACCUGCGGAGAGAAGACAGCCCCAGAGCCGCUGUCUCCAUCCUCUGCUGAUGCCUGCUGUCUUUAUGUUGGCCUCGUCGUCCGCACUGCAGUGUGGCAGGGGCGUCCCUCGUUUCCCGCGGACUGAGGUGGGCGCCGGGCAUUCAGUAAACGAAGAAACCAAAGCGGAGAAGGUUGGGAAUCAAACGUCUGUCAUACCUGCCACCAGCAGACAAGCGGCUUUGGGUACCUCCUGGACCCAAAGACGAACUCAGCCCCUCCAGGAGCGCAGUCAUUGGCACCCUCGUGGGAACAAUGCCAGUGGGAUGGGUGGCCACCGGAUGUUUCCGGGGCCCCUCAGAGGCCCAGCAGCGCAGGUCUUGGAGAAUGAAUGUGGGUCACUGGGCCGCGCUGCAGAGGGCCGGUCCUGAGUCGCUUCCUGGAGGAGAGGCCCAUGGCCAGCACUUGGCUUCGCCUGGAGGAAGAAGCACGUGCUAAACCACGAGCGUUCAGGGUUUGUCUGUUUGAUAAAAGAUGCUGGCUUUGACACACCAACUGACAAAGUCUUUCAUAGGUUGGAGCUGCUAGGUUGUGCCCCUGCCCCUCCUGAAAAUUAGCCACACGAAAGGAAGGGUCUGGAAGGUGGCAGGGAAGCCAGCAGAGACCAGGGAAGUGGCAGCAGCAUGGGGCAGGGGCACACAGGAAGGAGAUGGAGCUUGCGGGAGCCCCCACUGCCACUCCGACAGGGAGCCCUGCCCCGUGCCCUGCUGAUGUUGACACUGACCCCGGCUCUAUUAUUUCAGUUUUUCCUUGUAAUUUCUGAAAAUCUAGCAACAAGUUGAGCAAUGAAAAAAAGUAAAAAAGUUAAAAUUGUGUUAGAAAUUAUGACUGUAAAGAAAUUUUGAAACUAAUGAAGAAAAAAUUGCCAAAAUUGCCAAAGCUUUUAGGACUCUUAAAAAUAUAGUAACAUUGAGUAUUAUGAACUAAAGACUCAUACUAUUAUAUCAGUGUCUGGUAGUGAAUUUGGAUGGAGGACUGUCUAGUAACUUCUUAACAAA